AGUGAACGCUGGCGGUAGGCCUAACACAUACAAGUCGAACGGCAGCACAGUAAGAGCUUGCUCUUACGGGUGGCGAGUGGCGGACGGGUGAGGAAUACAUCGGAAUCUACUUUUUCGUGGGGGAUAACGUAGGGAAACUUACGCUAAUACCGCAUACGACCUACGGGUGAAAGCAGGGGAUCUUCGGACCUUGCGCGAUUGAAUGAGCCGAUGUCGGAUUAGCUAGUUGGCGGGGUAAAGGCCCACCAAGGCGACGAUCCGUAGCUGGUCUGAGAGGAUGAUCAGCCACACUGGAACUGGAACACGGUCCAGACUCCUGAGGGAGGCAGCAGUGGGGAAUAUUGGACAAUGGGCGCAAGCCUGAUCCAGCCAUACCGCGUGGGUGAAGAAGGCCUUCGGGUUGUAAAGCCCUUUUGUUGGGAAAGAAAGGCAGCAGGUUAAUACCCCGCUGUUCUGACGGUACCCAAAGAAUAAGCACCGGCUAACUUCGUG
This 492-nucleotide ribosomal RNA is filed under the name uncultured bacterium. RNAcentral describes it as "partial 16S ribosomal RNA". It matches the Rfam family "Bacterial small subunit ribosomal RNA", at positions 29 to 507 of the family's 1533-position model. The record is from RNAcentral.